This 900-nucleotide long non-coding RNA is filed under the name Daphnia pulex (common water flea). Its description in RNAcentral is "uncharacterized LOC124208116". The record is from RNAcentral. Lineage: Eukaryota; Metazoa; Arthropoda; Branchiopoda; Diplostraca; Daphniidae.
UUUGUCAUACAGCCUGCAUCAUGAAACAUGGCGUUGUUGCUAACUUGCUAUUUACUUAUUUUUCUGUGAAUUCUCAAUUGAACUUCGUUUGUAAAGUCAGUCCGUCAUUCCAACAAGUUGACUUAGUGCUAAAGUUGCUUUCCAUCCAUUAGAUCCUUAUGAGUGUCAAAAGCCUGAAACUCAUAUUUGAAGCUUACAUACAGUGGAAUUAGACAAAAGUUCUUGUGCAUGGACCGUGGAUCUUUUCUGAAUCUUGCAAGUGUAACCUGUGUCAGAAUGUUUGUCGAGUGUACAACUGUUUCUACAGCCGCUCAGAAGGCAACCCAGAUGAGAGAUAGUUCCAGUUUCAGUGAAUGUACAUGAAGAGUGUGAGUUCAUUUAGUACAUUUCCAGAUCUGCUUGAUGAAAGUCAAAUGCCUUACUGAAUUCGUCACCCAAAUGAUAAAGAACUAUUUAUGACGUCCUCUGAGAUCGCGAGUCGGCCGCCAGUUUCAAUCUACAACGCAGUUUCUUCAUGGAAUCGUGAGUCCUGAGCCAACGCUGGUUUUUGUCCAUGACAGAAGAAGGACUUCUACCAACGUUCGGUUCCUUAUCUUCACCACGUACGCUGCUUCUUGUGCUUCAUUGGCGAAUUAAAUCACUUCAGUGUUCGCUUCCGCCCGCUGUGACACACCUGUCAUCAUUCACCACCGGAUUAUGCCCAGGUAAUGCAGAGGAGACGUCGAGAAGAUGGAUUUUCCCAUCUUUAACAAUCGUCACCGGUCUCCGUCGGACGUUGCCCCUGCUCCUGGUGCGAACGAAACUCGGUGAAAUCGCGACCGACACCGAGACUCGUCAUCAACGUGGAUCAUCGUAUUGUUGGUAUUAUUGUGUUAGUGUUAGUUAACCCGUUGGCUGCCA